AGAGUUUGAUCCUGGCUCAGGAUGAACGCUAGCUACAGGCUUAACACAUGCAAGUCGAGGGGCAGCAUGGUCUUAGCUUGCUAAGGCCGAUGGCGACCGGCGCACGGGUGAGUAACACGUAUCCAACCUGCCGUCUACUCUUGGACAGCCUUCUGAAAGGAAGAUUAAUACAAGAUGGCAUCAUGAGUCCACAUGUUCACAUGAUUAAAGGUAUUCCGGUAGACGAUGGGGAUGCGUUCCAUUAGAUAGUAGGCGGGGUAACGGCCCACCUAGUCUUCGAUGGAUAGGGGUUCUGAGAGGAAGGUCCCCCACAUUGGAACUGAGACACGGUCCAAACUCCUACGGGAGGCAGCAGUGAGGAAUAUUGGUCAAUGGGCGAGAGCCUGAACCAGCCAAGUAGCGUGAAGGAUGACUGCCCUAUGGGUUGUAAACUUCUUUUAUAAAGGAAUAAAGUCGGGUAUGCAUACCCGUUUGCAUGUACUUUAUGAAUAAGGAUCGGCUAACUCCGUGCCAGCAGCCGCGGUAAUACGGAGGAUCCGAGCGUUAUCCGGAUUUAUUGGGUUUAAAGGGAGCGUAGAUGGAUGUUUAAGUCAGUUGUGAAAGUUUGCGGCUCAACCGUAAAAUUGCAGUUGAUACUGGAUAUCUUGAGUGCAGUUGAGGCAGGCGGAAUUCGUGGUGUAGCGGUGAAAUGCUUAGAUAUCACGAAGAACUCCGAUUGCGAAGGCAGCCUGCUAAGCUGCAACUGACAUUGAGGCUCGAAAGUGUGGGUAUCAAACAGGAUUAGAUACCCUGGUAGUCCACACGGUAAACGAUGAAUACUCGCUGUUUGCGAUAUACAGCAAGCGGCCAAGCGAAAGCGUUAAGUAUUCCACCUGGGGAGUACGCCGGCAACGGUGAAACUCAAAGGAAUUGACGGGGGCCCGCACAAGCGGAGGAACAUGUGGUUUAAUUCGAUGAUACGCGAGGAACCUUACCCGGGCUUAAAUUGCAGAUGAAUUACGGUGAAAGCCGUAAGCCGCAAGGCAUCUGUGAAGGUGCUGCAUGGUUGUCGUCAGCUCGUGCCGUGAGGUGUCGGCUUAAGUGCCAUAACGAGCGCAACCCUUGUUGUCAGUUACUAACAGGUUCUGCUGAGGACUCUGACAAGACUGCCAUCGUAAGAUGUGAGGAAGGUGGGGAUGACGUCAAAUCAGCACGGCCCUUACGUCCGGGGCUACACACGUGUUACAAUGGGGGGUACAGAGGGCCGCUACCACGCGAGUGGAUGCCAAUCCCAAAAACCUCUCUCAGUUCGGACUGGAGUCUGCAACCCGACUCCACGAAGCUGGAUUCGCUAGUAAUCGCGCAUCAGCCACGGCGCGGUGAAUACGUUCCCGGGCCUUGUACACACCGCCCGUCAAGCCAUGGGAGCCGGGGGUACCUGAAGUGCGUAACCGCGAGGAGCGCCCUAGGGUAAAACUGGUGACUGGGGCUAAGUCGUAACAAGGUAGCCGUACCGGAAGGUGCGGCUG
This 1508-nucleotide ribosomal RNA is filed under the name human gut metagenome. RNAcentral describes it as "bacterial SSU rRNA". It matches the Rfam family "Bacterial small subunit ribosomal RNA". The record is from RNAcentral.